Molecule: ribosomal RNA, 300 nt
Filed under: uncultured Exiguobacterium sp.
Lineage: Bacteria; Bacillati; Bacillota; Bacilli; Caryophanales
Description: bacterial SSU rRNA
Rfam family: Bacterial small subunit ribosomal RNA
Source: RNAcentral
CACGUAAAGAACCUGCCCAUAGGUCUGGGAUAACCACGAGAAAUCGGGGCUAAUACCGGAUGUGUCAUCGGACCGCAUGGUCCGCUGAUGAAAGGCGCUCCGGCGUCGCCCAUGGAUGGCUUUGCGGUGCAUUAGCUAGUUGGUGGGGUAACGGCCCACCAAGGCGACGAUGCAUAGCCGACCUGAGAGGGUGAUCGGCCACACGUGGGACUGAGACACGGCCCAGACUCCGUACGGGAGGCAGCAGUAGGGAAUCUUCCACAAUGGACGAAAGUCUGAUGGAGCAACGCCGCGUGAACG